This 771-nucleotide ribosomal RNA is filed under the name Triticum aestivum (bread wheat). Its description in RNAcentral is "partial small subunit ribosomal RNA". The record is from RNAcentral. Lineage: Eukaryota; Viridiplantae; Streptophyta; Magnoliopsida; Poales; Poaceae.
AUGUGCGAGGAGCGACCUGAGUUCUAUGAAGUGGGUAAGGCUAGUGUAGAGAGGGGUAUACGAGACUCUCUUUUCUGGCCUGAUGGCUCAAAGAAGAUGUCCGUGAAAUCGGAACCGGUUGAUGAAAGCCGUUGCUGGAUGCUCCAGCUGGUUCAAGCUUUGGUGCACAAGUAUAACGAGGAUCACAAUCUUUUCAAGGAUCUUGCGUUUGAAGUUACAGAUGUUGUGUGCUAUGAAGUAAUAUAUGAGGGAAACUGCCGCUACGACCAUGUUAAUUUCACUACAAGGACCAAAGGAGAAAAGACCACCGACAAUCUGUUCUUUGCUGAAGUCAAACGUAUGCCAGGAGAAGACGAAAAAUUGGUGGUCAGCUGUACCUGCUUGGUUGAUCCUUUUGAUAACGGUCACUGCUACGGCUGCGAAAGUAAUAUGAAGCACCCCAAUGCUGAUGCAUACAGUGGUGGUCACUCUAAGGUUUGCAACUUGAAGGGAGAAUGUCUUGGACCUAAUAUAGCGAUCGCAGAGACUAUGGAUGACUGGAAAGCUGAGGAAGCGAGGGUAAGACAAACGUUCAAGGGCCUUGAUGAUCCAACUGUUGUGGCGCGACUCAUGGAACCACCCAAGUUGAACUUCGGAGCAACCAAGGCCACCGAUGAGGAAGUAGAACGUUUUAUGAAUUCGAUCAUGGAACCAUACGAUCCUAACCUUUGCAGCACUUACGGCAUCCUCGAUGCUAGCGCCGCAGAAAGAUUUAGGGUGGCGCUAAAGUAA